GGUCCCAUAGCGUAAUGUUAAUGUGCUGUAAAUACCUUUGAGACUAAGGAUUUUUGUGCGGAGGUUCCGGGUUCGAGUCCUGGCGGUACCA
Molecule: non-coding RNA, 91 nt
Organism: Mycena maculata
Lineage: Eukaryota; Fungi; Basidiomycota; Agaricomycetes; Agaricales; Mycenaceae
Source: the annotation of a GenBank genome assembly